GUGCCAGAUUCGGCAGCACACAUACUAACAUUGGAAUGAUACAGGGAAGAUUAGCAUGGCCCCUGCAGAGGAUGACAUGCAAAUUCAUGCAGCAUUAAAAGAAAAA
RNAcentral lists this small nuclear RNA (106 nucleotides) under Propithecus coquereli (Coquerel's sifaka). Lineage: Eukaryota; Metazoa; Chordata; Mammalia; Primates; Indriidae. The record is from RNAcentral.